AGCGCAGGCGGUGCGGCAAGUCUGAUGUGAAAGCCUUCGGCUCAACCGAAGAAGUGCAUCGGAAACUGGGAAACUUGAGUGCAGAAGAGGACAGUGGAACUCCAUGUGUAGCGGUGAAAUGCGUAGAUAUAUGGAAGAACACCAGUGGCGAAGGCGGCUGUCUGGUCUGUAACUGACGCUGAGGCUCGAAAGCAUGGGUAGCAAACA
This 207-nucleotide ribosomal RNA is filed under the name uncultured bacterium. Its description in RNAcentral is "partial 16S ribosomal RNA". It matches the Rfam family "Bacterial small subunit ribosomal RNA", at positions 568 to 774 of the family's 1533-position model. The record is from RNAcentral.